AAUUAGGGUUGAACCCUAACAAUCGCCUUUACUAUUUUUAUGAAUGUGAUAUAGAUUAUACACUAUAGAGCCGUGAUUAUAAUUUUUUUGUCAUAUACUUCUAUAUGCACUUACUAUUUCUUCUUCGUUUUGUGGUUCAAGUGCUUCUCUUCUCUUUGAAUAUAUUUCUGUCCCAUAGGUGCUUGUGAAGAGUUAAUAAUUGCAGUGGGAACUUGGAAACACACAACUCCAUUGGAAGUUGUAUAAAUUAUAUUUUAAAUUUUCAUCAGUUCCCUGUUUCAAUGAUAAAGAAAACAAGGUGGGCAGUGAUCAAUUGCUUUUUUCAUUUUACUUUGCCUCACAAUUGUUGAUUCUAGCAUCAAUCAAAG
Molecule: unclassified non-coding RNA, 368 nt
Filed under: Hevea brasiliensis (rubber tree)
Lineage: Eukaryota; Viridiplantae; Streptophyta; Magnoliopsida; Malpighiales; Euphorbiaceae
Source: RNAcentral